Molecule: transfer RNA, 74 nt
Filed under: bacterium
Lineage: Bacteria
Description: tRNA-Val
Rfam family: tRNA
About the family: Transfer RNA (tRNA) molecules are approximately 80 nucleotides in length.
Source: RNAcentral
GGACGAUUAGCUCAGCUGGUUAGAGCGUUCGAUUCACAUUCGAAAGGUCACUGGUUCGAAUCCAGUAUCGUCCA